GCAAAAAAUCCAGCCCACACACUUCCUUAUGUACAUACAACAACUUCCAAAAUAAAUAAAACAUUCUUUUUCUAAGUAUAGGCGAUAAAAAAGUGUCUAAGAGCUUUAUAAAUAGUACCGCAAGGGAAUGAUGAAAUACAAAUGAAAUAACAUCAAGCGCUACAAAGCAGAGAAUAUACCUCGUACCUUUUGCAUCAUGGUUUAGCUAGUAAAACCAAGCAAAACGCAUUAAAGUUUGACUUCCCGAAACCUGGCGAGCUACUUCAAAACAGCCUUUAGGGCCAACCCGUCUCUGUUGCAAAAGAGUGGGAAGAUUUUUAAGUAGGGGUGACAGACCUACCGAGCCACGUAAUAGCUGGUUACUCGAGAAAAGGAUUUGAGUCCUCCCUUGGGCUUUUUCAUAAUUAAUAAUAAAAUAUUAAACCCAAGAGGCAUUUAAAUAAGGAACAGCUUAUUUAAAAUAGGAAACAACCUAAGACAUAGGGUAAUUUUUUUACUAAUAACUAAGUGGGCCUAAGAGCAGCCAUCUUCUAAAAAGCGUUAAAGCUUAAUUAUUAAAGCAGAUAAUUUCUAAAACAACACAAAACCCAUACAUACUAUCGAGUGAUUCUAUAAAUUUAUAGAAGACCUAAUGCUAAAACUAGUAACAAGAAGAAGACCUUCUCCUAAAUGUAAGCGUAAGCCAAACAAACUAUAAGGCACCUACCGCCAUGAAUAAAAAGUAGUAACUUCACAAGAAAAAUCUAUUAACUUCAGCGUUAACCUUACACAAGAACAUUUCAGAAAAGAUUAAAAAAAGAGGAAGGAACUCGGCAAACUAUUAAUCCCGCCUGUUUACCAAAAACAUCGCCUUCUGACAAGAUAUAGAAGGUCCAGCCUGCCCAGUGACAAAGUUAAACGGCCGCGGUACCCUAACCGUGCGAAGGUAGCGCAAUCACUUGUUCUUUAAAUAAGGACUAGUAUGAAUGGCAUCACGAGGAUUAUUCUGUCUCCCCCUUUUAAUCAGUGAAACUGAUCUCCCCGUGAAGAAGCGGGGAUUAUUUUAUAAGACGAGAAGACCCUAUGGAGCUUUAAACUUACACCACAUACCUUAAAUAAUUUCAUAAUAAAUAGGUAAAGCCUGUGUGCCAGUUUUCGGUUGGGGUGACCACGGAGCAAAGCAAAACCUCCAUGCUGAAAAGAUAUUUUCUUAAUCCAAGAACAACAUUUCAAAGAAUCAGAAUACUGACAUAAUUGAUCCAAACAAUUUGAUCAACGAACCAAGUUACCCUAGGGAUAACAGCGCAAUCCAUUUCAAGAGCUCAUAUCGACAAAUGGGUUUACGACCUCGAUGUUGGAUCAGGGUAUCCCAGUGGUGCAGCCGCUACUAAAGGUUCGUUUGUUCAACGAUUAAAACCCU
This 1399-nucleotide ribosomal RNA is filed under the name Chiasmocleis bassleri (Bassler's humming frog). Its description in RNAcentral is "Syncope bassleri (Bassler's humming frog) partial 16S ribosomal RNA". It matches the Rfam family "Bacterial large subunit ribosomal RNA", at positions 364 to 2597 of the family's 2925-position model. Lineage: Eukaryota; Metazoa; Chordata; Amphibia; Anura; Microhylidae. The record is from RNAcentral.